UUCCUGUGAUGAGUUUGCCAUGCUAAUACUGAUGUGCCAGACUGACUGUGUCUGUCUGGGCGCAGCUGAGGUCAGCUCAACUUCUCACACUCGCAGUGUGAUCUGAGGAAA
Molecule: small nucleolar RNA, 111 nt
Organism: Pygocentrus nattereri (red-bellied piranha)
Lineage: Eukaryota; Metazoa; Chordata; Actinopteri; Characiformes; Serrasalmidae
Source: Ensembl